Molecule: non-coding RNA, 240 nt
Filed under: Sphingomonas sp.
Lineage: Bacteria; Pseudomonadati; Pseudomonadota; Alphaproteobacteria; Sphingomonadales; Sphingomonadaceae
Source: RNAcentral
GGCCGGCAUGAUCGCGUCGGUGUCCUGAGAGGGACUUAAUAGGGAACGCGGUGAAGGUGGUUCGCCGCCUGAAUCCGAGGCUGUCCCUGCAACUGUAAGCGGCGAGCGCGAUGCAUAUCGCUUCUUCCUUCAUAGGAAGGGGCAGCCACUGGGCCGGACGUAAGUCACGAAGGCCUGGGAAGGCCGUGCAUCGUGUGAUGACCCGUGAGCCAGGAGACCUGCCGGCGUCUGGUCGCUCUU